Molecule: ribosomal RNA, 445 nt
Filed under: uncultured bacterium
Lineage: Bacteria
Description: partial 16S ribosomal RNA
Rfam family: Bacterial small subunit ribosomal RNA
Source: RNAcentral
GUGAGGAAUAUUGGUCAAUGGACGGAAGUCUGAACCAGCCAUGCCGCGUGAAGGAUGAAGGCGUUCUGCGUUGUAAACUUCUUUUAUCAGAGAAGAAACCACUGAUUUCUAUUAGUGUUGACGGUAUCUGAUGAAUAAGCACCGGCUAACUCCGUGCCAGCAGCCGCGGUAAUACGGAGGGUGCAAGCGUUAUCCGGAUUUACUGGGUUUAAAGGGUGUGUAGGCGGGCUAUUAAGUCAGGGGUGAAAUCCCGGGGCUCAAACUCGGAACUGCCUUUGAUACUAUUAGUCUUGAAUUAUGUUGAGGUUGGCGGAAUAUAACAUGUAGCGGUGAAAUGCAUAGAUAUGUUAUAGAACACCGAUUGCGAAGGCAGCUGGCUAAACAUAUAUUGACGCUGAGGCACGAAAGCGUGGGUAGCGAACAGGAUUAGAUAUCCCAGUAGUCC